Molecule: non-coding RNA, 248 nt
Organism: Paramuricea clavata
Lineage: Eukaryota; Metazoa; Cnidaria; Anthozoa; Malacalcyonacea; Plexauridae
Source: the annotation of a GenBank genome assembly
GCGUUUAUAAAGCUGAACUUUCCAACGGAAUCACCUGUUAUGCCAAUAUUUAUUUCAACAUCUCUCCAUGCCUCCAAUUUUGCUUUACAAAUGUUUUCUAUUCCAGACACGCCAUGUUGUUCAACAUGUUUGGAUACUUUUUAUGUACAUAUUCUCCGUCGUAGUAAAACAAGACGAGUUCCCGCUGGUUUUAAAUCUUCUAAAACCUUUGGCUCUAAUAAAACCUACUUAGACCAAGUCAAACUUGU